AACGCACAUUGCGCCCUGUGGUAUUCCGCGGGGCAUGCCUGUUCGAGCGUCAUUUCAACCCUCAAGCUCUGCUUGGUAUCGGGCCGCGCCGGCGACGGUGGGCCUCAGAAUCAGUGGCGGUGCUGUUUGGCUCUAAGCGUAGUAAUUCUUCUCGCUAUAGACGCCUGGCGGUCUCCAGCCAGCAACCCCCCAAUUUUCUAUGGUUGACCUCGGAUCAGGUAGGGAUACCCGCUGAACUUAA
This 241-nucleotide unclassified non-coding RNA is filed under the name uncultured Helotiales. RNAcentral's name for it is "sequence contains 5.8S rRNA gene, ITS2, 28S rRNA gene". The record is from RNAcentral. Lineage: Eukaryota; Fungi; Ascomycota; Leotiomycetes; Helotiales.